This 480-nucleotide long non-coding RNA is filed under the name Apteryx owenii (little spotted kiwi). RNAcentral's name for it is "lncRNA (ENSAOWG00000003086.1)". Lineage: Eukaryota; Metazoa; Chordata; Aves; Apterygiformes; Apterygidae. The record is from RNAcentral.
UGUGACAGAGGUUUGUUUAGGUUUCUAAAUACUUUACUAAGAAAUUGCUAAAGAAAACUACAUCUGUAUGGUUGGGAUCUCUUGACUGAAAGUCACAAUCAUAGUAAAAUGCAAGUGUUACUAUGUAGUAGAGAAUCUUCAGAUAGGGAAGAGGAAUAUGAUGUGCUAAUUAGUAUAAGAUAAAGCCAACUAUUAGCAGUUUGGUCUUUUCUGUGUCAAGUGACACCAGUGGUGGAGAGAAAAAUUCAACUUCCAGUUAAGCAGGAAAGACAGAAAGACUGUGUGCUAACCUUAGAAGUGGAAGAAAAAAUACUUGGAAUAUUAUAGAAGAGCGUGUUCUUUUGGAGAAAAAACUAGGACAUGCCUAUGUCCCAUCUUGCCCCCACCUGCCUUGCUCCAUGCGUGAGUAUAUACUGUAGAAUACUUGGAACCAGUUCAGUUCCACUGAACCACCUGACUGUGAUUUGCUCAAGUCAAUAG